Mus musculus (house mouse) is the source of this 1737-nucleotide long non-coding RNA. RefSeq annotates it as predicted gene, 39408. The record is from RefSeq and is a predicted model, not a curated record. NCBI's taxonomy places the organism in Eukaryota, Metazoa, Chordata, Mammalia, Rodentia, Muridae. The transcript has 2 exons.
UCCACCUGCCUCUGCCUCCAAGUGCUGGGAUUAAAGGCGUGCGCCACCACGCCCGGCUCCCAAAUGUAAAAUAUUUGGUUCGUUAAUAUUCUUUGGUCUAAAAGUAGAUUCAACAAUCUACCCCUUUAUCCUAUUAUUUCUAACUUCUCUCUCUUUCUCUAACACUAGAUAGGAGAGAGAGAGACGGACAGAGGAAAGAAACAGAAAUCCCUGAAUCUAACCUCUCUGACCAAGACCACUAAUAAUCCUCCCACUGAGUAACCAAAUCCACCCACAUCAAUUUUUGGGAAUGAGAUGCCAUUCUCUUAAAAUUGCUUCCUGCAAUCUGGGGGUGUCAGCCCCUUUUAGGAGUCUGUAUAAAAUUGGGACAUGGCCAGUCUCAAGAAAGCUAGCUGUAACAUUUGUUGUCCAGUCCCUCUGUGAUGGGAAAGUGCAGGGCUUAAAUGAAGUCCUGACUGUUUGGCUGGAAGUAGCAGGAUGCUGGAAUAAAUAUGUCUCAGCAUCCUUCUCAGCGUCCUUCAGGGUGAGUCUUGUCAGGGCCGCUCUAACAUCACUGGGGUUUGGUUGUUUGUCUCUGUGAACCUACAAGCUUUUAACUGUAAUACACAUUUUUGCAUGAAUGCAUGUUUGGCAUGUUAAAGGUGAUUCUUUGAGCAGGCAAAAGUUAGUUUGAACUAUAUAACCAACCUGUAAUACAAAUUUUCAUCGAUGCCAUUUGAAGGAUGGCAUGUAAUAAUUCCUGAAGAUUCUGUAGCCAACAAGAUCUGUUGGCUUUACAGAGACACUGUCAUGUGUCAGCCUGUCUCAGAAAUGUUCCCACGUCCAGAGGCAGCACAAACUUUACCUGUUUUAUUCUUCUUGGUUUCUCCCAUCCUGCUAUAGGCUAUAGGCAGGAUGGGACCUUCAGGAGGUCUGUCAGAUCUAAUCUUUAUUAUGAUGGAACCCCUAGCUUUUCUUCUGUUAAAACCAAGGCAAAACCUCUUCUCUAACGUAACGUAUUUCCUACCUUCCAUUAAAGACAUCCUUAUAAUAUAUAGGUUGGUUUAUUUCCAUUAAAGACAUCCAUAUAAUAUAUAGGUUGGUUUAUUUCCAUUAAAGACAUCCUUAUAAUAUAUAGGUUGGUUUAUUUCGGCAAUUUUUCCCCAUAGCCCAAUGUCUCUCAGUAGCUCUUGUGUUUUACUCCUUUGAAGUAUAGCUAAAUCCUUUCACAAUUGUCCAACUUGUAGGAUUAUGAGAUAUGCCAGUAAUAUAUUUUCUGCCAUAAUAUCUAAAAUAUCGUAUUCUAAGAAUACAUAUAUUAAAGUACCAUCAACUUUAGUCUGUAAAGGAUUUCCAAGAUAGCCACCAUCUCUAAUAAAUGUGCAGUCUCACAAUCAGCCUUUUUAGAAUUCAAGGCAGAAACAUCAAAAUCUUGACUACCAAUUGUUUGAUGUAUUAAAAUAUAUACAUAUAUUAAUUCUCCAAACUCUAUAAAAUGAAAUAUAUAAUCUAUUGUAUGACAUUGUUCUGAACAUAAUCUUUAUUCUUAACUCAGCAUAGUCUCUUUAUUUAGGAAUUUAAUAGGUUGGCAUUCUGCAAUCUUGUCACAAGGUGGCUCUGUAGGCUUUGGAUUGGGUUCCUCCAAAGAUCCUUUUUCUGAGAGGAUUUUACAAUCCGUUUAUUAUUAUUGCUAACACUGGCAUUUAAUAUUUCAAUCUUUUCCAUUUGUAAGUUUGCUUUCUUUUGAUUUUUAAAAAA